This 54-nucleotide ribosomal RNA is filed under the name Polylepis lanuginosa. RNAcentral describes it as "partial 18S ribosomal RNA". The record is from RNAcentral. Lineage: Eukaryota; Viridiplantae; Streptophyta; Magnoliopsida; Rosales; Rosaceae.
AGGAAAGAGAGUUGUAACAAGGUUUCCGUAGGUGAACCUACGGAAUGAUCAUUG